CAUCCAGGCUCCUUCCAGGAAUGCCGUGGUGAUCAGAAGGGUCAUUUUGGUGCCUCUCUUCAGCUCCAUUCUGUCACAACUUUACCAUUUUGCACCAAGGACUGACAACUGAGCCUUGUCCGACUGGCUUAUAACAAAUGCAGCUCUAAGUGAAUGGGGCAUAAUCUAAAGAACUAAAAUCCUACCUAGUUGCCAAUAAACCUGUGGUUAGAACGAUUUACUCAGCAAUCUCUACUCUCACUUAGGAAUAGAAAAUUAGUGAGGCGAAUAGGAAGAGAAAUCAGACAGGGUGACUUUUAAUCACUUUCAAGGAAGCUGAUGGUAAGACAUUAAAAACAAAUAGGUAGAUUUUAGUCUGUUUACAAGGGUAGUGAUGAAUGGAGUUGAAAAUUAAACGGAACCAUUGGGAAACUAAGAAAUUGAAAAUUUCAAAGAGUACUUGCAACUAACAUGACUGUCCACUAUGGGAAAUUACCAAUUAAGGAAAAAAUGGCACUUUCUAGACUUAAAAGAAAAGAAGCAUGAACACAACAGCCAAUGUGUGCAAAAUGACUGAAAUCUGGGGGAGCAUUGCAGAAGCAAGCACCUAGGCAGAAGAGAAAGUAUAUUUACAGUUCAGAAGAGACAGAAAAGAGAAAGGAUUAUAUAUUUUAGACACACCAGCAUUUCUUUGUUCAUUCCUGCAACUGAUAUUUUUGGUGCUUUUCAUACACCCAUACAUGGGUCAUCCUUGCUUCAUCUAGCUUAGCCUAAAGGAGAAAUGGAUGUGGGGAAAAAAUAACUGUGUGGUGCAUGCUGUUGUAAUAGAGGUGUGAAGCUCAUUAAAGAAAGUGGCUGGGUCUGCCCAGAUAGGGACAAGAAAAUUUCCCAGUUAAUAUUAUAUUUGAUCUGGGUCUUGAUAGAUAAAUUUAGAAAGUUACUAGAUCGGGAAAAAAAUAGGCAUUUGAAGGAAAAGGGAUAGCACAUGGAAAAGCACUGUAUCUUUGAGCUAUUGCCACGAUGAACACUGCAAACAAGGCUUCCCAAAACAUAGUGAUUAAAAACAAAACCAUUUAUUAUGUUUUCAUGAGUCUACAAAUCAGUGGAGCCAUUCUGCUGAUAUGAGUGUGGCUUGGCUGAUCUUGGCUGGGCUGGCUCACAGUUCUGAGGUGACCUGACACAUCAGCUGAGGGUUGGACGGCAGAGUUGGCCUUUGCUGAGAUGACUCAGCACCACUCAGCUUGGCCUCUCAUUAUACACCAGGCUAGCCCAGACUUGUUCUAAUCACAGAGACAGAGAUCCAAGCGGCAGCUGGAAUACACAAAGCAGUUCCAUAGGCCGAGGCUUAGCAUGGCACACAUGGAUUUCAGAUAUAUCCCACCAGCCGGCACAUGUCAUGAGGCCAGUCCAGAGUCAAGGAGUGAAGAAAUGACUCCAUCUCUUCAUGAGAAGCUACAAAGUCACAUUUUAUACAAAGAGGAGUAAAACAUUGUUGUCAUUAGUCUAAGACGGUUAUACAAAGAUGUAGAAGAAUGUAGCAUAUUCAGGAAAAAUCCAGGAUUUAGGUCUGGCUUGCUCAUAAAGUGCAAGUUGCAAGUAGAGAAUGAGAUGAACAGAAGAUAAAGCUGUAAACUGGAGCUGGGUCAUGAAAGGACUUCAUUUGGAAGUAACCCACAUUUAGAAAUUUGAAGUUUUUUUUUAAAGUCAGUUGGAAAGUUAUUAUGCAAUGGAUGCAAUUACAUCUGUAUUUUAGAAAAAAUAUAAUGCACAAUAUCCUGGAGGAGAGGAAGGAGGUAGAAAACUAGUUAAGAUGCUACUAUGGCAAUUUAGUGGAGAACUGAUUAGAAUUUGUACAAGGGAAAGAGGAAUCAAGAAGAAAAAGAGGUGGCAAAUUUGGAAAAAUAUUGGGACAAUUGAUAGAUUGAGUGUGUGGAAAUAACCACUUUUUAUCUCUUCUCCUUUUCCAUGAUAGUAAUCCCCCUAAUUUUUGCAAGCAUAUGCUGAUUCAGAAUAAAGACUACACUCCCAGCUUCCCUUGCAGCUAAAGGAGACCACAUGAGUACUUCCUGGCCAUGAGAUGUAAACAGGUGCAUCCUGUAGCAGUCUCCUGGAUCUUCACUAAAAGAUAGUUGAGGCAUGCCCUUUGCCUACCUCUUUCCUUUCUCUAUGCAAUUGCCUGGAAUGCAGACAUCCAUUUUGGGGCUGGGAGGAUAAACACUACACCUUGGGGAUGGCAGAGGUGUGAGCUAAAAGGAACAUGGGAUCCUAAAGAAUUCAUAGACUGAAGCCACCAUAGCAGCUCUGGUGGCCUGUCAAUGCCCUGAUAUCUUCAAUGAAAGAGAAAUAAGCCACUAUCACAUUUAGGCCUCUGUUAUUUAGGGUCUCUGUUACAUAUAACUGAACCUAAUCUAGACUGAUACAAAUGUGGAAAGGAUUAAGAUUUGUUUGGAUCAUGAAGUUAUUAGGCCAGGAGGAAGAGCAAGUCUCCAAGGGAAGUUCAAGAGCUGAUACAUUUAUAAUGCCUUGAGAAACACACACACACACAUACACACACACACACACACAGACAUGAAGAUUUUUACCUCUGGGGGAAGAACUGUAGGAGGAGAGCCUAGGGGAGAAUACUAAAAGCCUUAUACUAAAACAUUUGGUGUCUUUCAAAUGUAUUUUGUACCAUUUGCUUGUUUUACCUAAGCAUAAAUAAAUACUAAUACUUCACAAACACUUCCCAAAAAUAAAAGAGGAGAGAAUCUUUCUAGCUCAUUUUAUGAGGACAGUAUUAUUCUGAUACCAAAACAAGAUAAAGACAUCACAAGAACACUACACCAAUAUUUCUAGUAAAUAUAAAUGCAAAAAUUCUCAACAAAAUGCUAGCAAACUAAAUUCAGUAACACAUAGGACCGUGAUUAAGUGGGAUUUAUUCCCAUGAAAUAAGCUUGAUUUAACAUAAGAAAAUUGGUGGUAUAAUACACCAUUUUAACAGAAUAAAAGACAAAAAUUAUGGGUUCACCUCAAUCAGCACAGAAAAAUCAUUUGACAAAAUUCAACCAUGUUUCAUGAUGAAAACACUAAAAAAAACUUCUUCAACCUGAUAAAAAGGCAUCUGUGAAAUACCCACAGUUAACACUGUACUUAUUGGUGAAACACUGGCUGCUUUGUCACUAAAAUCACUAACAGAGCAAGAAUGUGUGUCCUCAUCAAUUUGGUUUAAUAUUAUACUGGAGGUUCUAGCAAGGGCAAUUAGACAAGAAAAUAAAAUAAAAGCAUCCAGACUGAAAAGGAAGAAGGAAAACUCUCUAUUCUCAGAUGACAUAACUUUUUACAUAGAAAAUACUAAGGAACCCAACAAAAAAAAUAUAAAAAUGAGUAAGUUCUACAAGGUUGCAAGAGACAAAGAUCAAUUACAAAAAUCAAUUGCAUGCACCAACAAUAAAUGAUCUGAAAAUGAAAUUAAGAAAAAAUUCCAUUUACAAAAGCCUCAAAAAGAGUAAAAUAUUUAUGGGGCACCUGGCUGGCUCAAUCAGUAGAGCAUGCAACUCUUGAUCUUGGGGUCAUGAGUUUGAGCCCCAUGUUGAGGGUAGAGUUCACUUAAAGAAAAAAAAAA
Molecule: long non-coding RNA, 3583 nt
Filed under: Canis lupus familiaris (dog)
Lineage: Eukaryota; Metazoa; Chordata; Mammalia; Carnivora; Canidae
Description: lncRNA (ENSCAFG00845012482.1)
Source: RNAcentral